RNAcentral lists this non-coding RNA (21 nucleotides) under Caenorhabditis elegans. The record is from RNAcentral. Lineage: Eukaryota; Metazoa; Nematoda; Chromadorea; Rhabditida; Rhabditidae.
UUGUUUUUAAAUUUCCUAUUA